RNAcentral lists this ribosomal RNA (253 nucleotides) under uncultured bacterium. Its description in RNAcentral is "partial 16S ribosomal RNA". It matches the Rfam family "Bacterial small subunit ribosomal RNA", at positions 524 to 776 of the family's 1533-position model. The record is from RNAcentral.
UACGAAGGGGGCGAGCGUUGUUCGGAAUCACUGGGCGUAAAGGGUGCGUAGGCGGGUCUUUAAGUCAGGGGUGAAAUCCUGGAGCUCAACUCCAGAACUGCCUUUGAUACUGAAGAUCUUGAGUUCGGGAGAGGUGAGUGGAACUGCGAGUGUAGAGGUGAAAUUCGUAGAUAUUCGCAAGAACACCAGUGGCGAAGGCGGCUCACUGGCCCGAUACUGACGCUGAGGCACGAAAGCGUGGGGAGCAAACAGG